AGAGUUUGAUCCUGGCUCAGAAUGAACGCUGGCGGCGUGCCUAACACAUGCAAGUCGAACGAGAAAAGCCUUCGGGCUUAGUAAAGUGGCGAACGGGUGAGCAAUACAUAGGUAUCUACCUUUUAGUAGAGAAUACCUCCGAGAAAUCGGGGUUAAUACUGUAUAACCCCUGUGAUGAACAGGGCAAAGGCGGCCUCUUGCUGUCGCUAAAAGAUGAGCCUAUGGCCUAUUAGUUAGUUGGUGGGGUAAUGGCCUACCAAGACGAAGAUGGGUAACCGACCUGAGAGGGUGAUCGGUCACACUGGAACUGAGACACGGUCCAGACUCCUACGGGAGGCAGCAGUGGGGAAUAUUGCACAAUGGGCGAAAGCCUGAUGCAGCGACGCCGCGUGGAGGAUGAAGGUCUUCGGAUUGUAAACUCCUGUUAAGUGGGAAAAAAGACUUCUGGCUAAUAUCCAGAGGGGAUGAUGGUACCACUAGAGAAAGCACCGGCAAACCUCGUGCCAGCAGCCGCGGUAAGACGAGGGGUGCAAGCGUUAUUCGGAAUUACUGGGCGUAAAGAGCGUGAAGACGGUUUUUUAAGUCAACUGUUAAAUCACCCGGCUUAACCGGGUAUCAGCAGUUGAUACUGGAUGACUAGAGCUUAGAAGAGAGAAGUGGAAUUCUCGGAGUAGCGGUAAAAUGCGUAGAUCUCGAGAGGAACACCAGUGGUGAAGACGGCUUCUUGGUCUAUAGCUGACGUUCAAGCGCGAAAGCGUGGGGAGCAAACAGGAUUAGAUACCCUGGUAGUCCACGCUGUAAACGAUGAUCACUAGAUGUGGGUUUUGCUUUGCAAGAUCCGUGUCGUAGCUAACGCGUUAAGUGAUCCGCCUGAGAACUACGGUCGCAAGAUUAAAACUCAAAGGAAUUGACGGGGGUCCGCACAAGCGGUGGAACAUGUGGUUUAAUUCGACACUACGCGAGGAACCUUACCUGGGUUUGACAUGUAGUUGAAAUCGGUAGAGAUAUCGACCUCCGUGUUUACACGGACAAUUACACAGGUGCUGCAUGGCUGUCGUCAGCUCGUGUCGUGAGACGUCGGGUUAAGUCCUUGAACGAGCGCAACCCUUGCCGCUAGUUGCUACGACUUCGGUCGGCACUCUAGCGGGACUGCCUUGGAAACAAGGAGGAAGGUGGGGAUGACGUCAAGUCCUCAUGGCCCUUAUACCCAGGGCUACACACGUGUUACAAUGGCGAAGAACAAAGGGAUGCAAGACCGUAAGGUGGAGCAAAUCUCAGAAAAUUCGUCUAAGUUCAGAUUGAAGUCUGCAACUCGACUUCAUGAAGUUGAAAUCGCUAGUAAUCGCGUAUCAGAAUGACGCGGUGAAUACGUUCUCGGGCCUUGUACACACCGCCCGUCACACCACGAAAGCUGUCUGCACUCGAAAUUAUCUUAGCUAACCUUUAUCGGAGGCGGGUAAUGAAGGUGAAGGGAGUGAUUGGGGUGAAGUCGUAACAAGGUAGCUGUACGAGAACGUGCGGCUG
RNAcentral lists this ribosomal RNA (1524 nucleotides) under Candidatus Bathyarchaeota archaeon. Its description in RNAcentral is "bacterial SSU rRNA". It matches the Rfam family "Bacterial small subunit ribosomal RNA". Lineage: Archaea; Thermoproteati; Candidatus Bathyarchaeota. The record is from RNAcentral.